Molecule: ribosomal RNA, 559 nt
Filed under: uncultured bacterium
Lineage: Bacteria
Description: bacterial SSU rRNA
Rfam family: Bacterial small subunit ribosomal RNA
Source: RNAcentral
CGGAACGUGCCCGAUCGUGGGGGAUAACGCAGCGAAAGCUGUGCUAAUACCGCAUACGAUCUACGGAUGAAAGCGGGGGAUCGCAAGACCUCGCGCGGACGGAGCGGCCGAUGGCAGAUUAGGUAGUUGGUGAGGUAAAGGCUCACCAAGCCGUCGAUCUGUAGCUGGUCUGAGAGGACGACCAGCCACACUGGGACUGAGACACGGCCCAGACUCCUACGGGAGGCAGCAGUGGGGAAUUUUGGACAAUGGGCGCAAGCCUGAUCCAGCCAUGCCGCGUGCAGGAUGAAGGCCUUCGGGUUGUAAACUGCUUUUGUACGGAACGAAACGGUCUUUUCUAAUAAAGAAGGCUAAUGACGGUACCGUAAGAAUAAGCACCGGCUAACUACGUGCCAGCAGCCGCGGUAAUACGUAGGGUGCAAGCGUUAAUCGGAAUUACUGGGCGUAAAGCGUGCGCAGGCGGUGAUGUAAGACAGAUGUGAAAUCCCCGGGCUCAACCUGGGAACUGCAUUUGUGACUGCAUCGCUGGAGUGCGGCAGAGGGGGAUGGAAUUCCGCGU